GUGCUAGCUUCGGCAGCACAUAUAGUAAAACUGGAACAAUACAGAGAAGAUUAGCAUGGCCCCUGCACAAGGAUGACAUGCAAAUUCGUGAAGCGUUCCAUAUUUUU
RNAcentral lists this small nuclear RNA (107 nucleotides) under Phocoena sinus (vaquita). Lineage: Eukaryota; Metazoa; Chordata; Mammalia; Artiodactyla; Phocoenidae. The record is from RNAcentral.